CCUACGGGAGGCAGCAGUGAGGAAUAUUGGUCAAUGGACGAGAGUCUGAACCAGCCAAGUAGCGUGAAGGAUGACUGCCCUACGGGUUGUAAACUUCUUUUAUAAAGGAAUAAAGUGAGGCACGUGUGCCUUUUUGUAUGUACUUUAUGAAUAAGCAUCGGCUAACUCCGUGCCAGCAGCCGCGGUAAUACGGAGGAUCCGAGCGUUAUCCGGAUUUAUUGGGUUUAAAGGGAGCGUAGAGGGGUUGUUAAGUCAGUUGUGAAAGUUUGCGGCUCAACCGUAAAAUUGCAAUUGAUACUGGCAGUCUUGAGUACAGGAGAGGUAGACGGAAUUCCUGGUGUAGCGGUGAAAUGCGUAGAUAUUAGGAAGAACACCAGUGGCGAAGGCGGUCUGCUGGACAGCAACUGACGCUGAGGCGCGAAAGCGUGGGGAGCGAACAGGAUUAGAUACCCCAGUAGUC
RNAcentral lists this ribosomal RNA (460 nucleotides) under uncultured bacterium. RNAcentral describes it as "partial 16S ribosomal RNA". It matches the Rfam family "Bacterial small subunit ribosomal RNA", at positions 338 to 795 of the family's 1533-position model. The record is from RNAcentral.